This 786-nucleotide ribosomal RNA is filed under the name uncultured Bacteroides sp. RNAcentral's name for it is "bacterial SSU rRNA". It matches the Rfam family "Bacterial small subunit ribosomal RNA", at positions 388 to 1177 of the family's 1533-position model. The record is from RNAcentral. Lineage: Bacteria; Pseudomonadati; Bacteroidota; Bacteroidia; Bacteroidales; Bacteroidaceae.
CCANNCAAGUAGCGUGAAGGAUGACUGCCCUAUGGGUUGUAAACUUCUUUUAUAAGGGAAUAAAGUGAGGGACGUGUCCCUUUUUGUAUGUACCUUAUGAAUAAGGAUCGGCUAACUCCGUGCCAGCAGCCGCGGUAAUACGGAGGAUCCAAGCGUUAUCCGGAUUUAUUGGGUUUAAAGGGAGCGUAGGUUGACAUAUAAGUCAGCUGUGAAAGUUUACGGCUCAACCGUGAAAUUGCAGUUGAUACUGUAUGUCUUGAGUGUACAAGAGGUGGGCGGAAUUCGUGGUGUAGCGGUGAAAUGCUUAGAUAUCACGAAGAACUCCAAUUGCGAAGGCAGCUCACUGGGGUACAACUGACACUGAGGCUCGAAAGUGUGGGUAUCAAACAGGAUUAGAUACCCUGGUAGUCCACACAGUAAACGAUGAAUACUCGCUGUUUGCGAUAUACAGUAAGCGGCCAAGCGAAAGCAUUAAGUAUUCCACCUGGGGAGUACGCCGGCAACGGUGAAACUCAAAGGAAUUGACGGGGGCCCGCACAAGCGGAGGAACAUGUGGUUUAAUUCGAUGAUACGCGAGGAACCUUACCCGGGCUUGAAUUGCAGAGGAACAUAGUUGAAAGAUUAUGGCCGCAAGGUCUCUGUGAAGGUGCUGCAUGGUUGUCGUCAGCUCGUGCCGUGAGGUGUCGGCUUAAGUGCCAUAACGAGCGCAACCCUUAUCAUUAGUUACUAACAGGUCAUGCUGAGGACUCUAGUGAGACUGCCGUCGUAAGAUGUGAGGAAGGUGGA